RNAcentral lists this ribosomal RNA (1254 nucleotides) under seawater metagenome. RNAcentral's name for it is "bacterial LSU rRNA". It matches the Rfam family "Bacterial large subunit ribosomal RNA", at positions 1156 to 2398 of the family's 2925-position model. The record is from RNAcentral.
GGUCUGCGCGGAAGAUGUAACGGGGCUAAACUAGUCACCGAAGCUGCGGAUUCAUAAUUUAUUAUGAGUGGUAGGGGAGCGUUCUGUAAGCCGUUGAAGGUGUGUUGUAAAGCAUGCUGGAGGUAUCAGAAGUGCGAAUGCUGACAUGAGUAACGAUAAGGGGAGUGAAAAACUCCCCCGCCGAAAGACCAAGGUUUCCUGUCCCAUGUUAAUCAGGGCAGGGUAAGUCGGCCCCUAAGGCGAGGCGGAAACGCGUAGUCGAUGGGAAACAGAUUAAUAUUUCUGUACUUCUAUAUAUUGCGAAGGAGGGACGGAGUAGGCUAGGUGAGCACGGCGUUGGUAGUCCGUGUGAAAGUAUGUAGGCGGUUGACUUAGGUAAAUCCGGGUCUUCAUUAACGCUGAGAUACGAGACGAGAUUCUACGGAAUUGAAGUCAUUGAUGCCAUGCUUCCAGGAAAAGCUUCUAAGCUUCAGAUAUAUAGGAACCGUACCCCAAACCGACACAGGUGGUUAGGUAGAGAAUACUAAGGCGCUUGAGAGAACUCGGGUGAAGGAACUAGGCAAAAUAGUACCGUAACUUCGGGAGAAGGUACGCUCUCUAAUGUGAAUGACUUGCUCAGUAAGCAUCGGAGAGUCGAAGUAACCAGGUGGCUGGAACUGUUUAUUAAAAACACAGCACUGUGCAAAAUCGAAAGAUGACGUAUACGGUGUGACGCCUGCCCGGUGCCGGAAGGUUAAUUGAUUGGGUUAGCUCUGCGAAGCUCAUGAUCGAAGCCCCGGUAAACGGCGGCCGUAACUAUAACGGUCCUAAGGUAGCGAAAUUCCUUGUCGGGUAAGUUCCGACCUGCACGAAUGGCGUAAUCAUGGCCACACUGUCUCCACCCGAGACUCAGUGAAAUUGAAAUUGCGGUUAAGAUGCCGUAUACCCGCGGCUAGACGGAAAGACCCCGUGAACCUUUACUAUAGCUUGACAGUGAACAUUGCUCCUACAUGUGUAGGAUAGGUGGGAGGCUUUGAAACUUUGUCGCCAGAUGAAGUGGAGCCAACCUUGAAAUACCACCCUUGUAUGCGUGAUGUUCUAACCUAGGGCCCUAAUCGGGCUUGGGGACACUGUCUGGUGGGUAGUUUGACUGGGGCGGUCUCCUCCUAAAGAGUAACGGAGGAGCACGAAGGUUGGCUAAGUACGGUCGGACAUCGUACGGUUAGUGCAAUGGCAUAAGCCAGCUUAACUGCGAGACAGACACGUCGAGCAGGU